This 253-nucleotide ribosomal RNA is filed under the name uncultured bacterium. RNAcentral's name for it is "partial 16S ribosomal RNA". It matches the Rfam family "Bacterial small subunit ribosomal RNA", at positions 524 to 776 of the family's 1533-position model. The record is from RNAcentral.
UACGUAGGUGACAAGCGUUGUCCGGAUUUACUGGGCGUAAAGAGCGCGCAGGCGGUCGUUCAAGUCGAGUGUGAAAGCCCCCGGCUCAACUGGGGAGGGUCACUCGAUACUGAUCGACUCGAAGGCAGGAGAGGGUAGUGGAAUUCCCGGUGUAGUGGUGAAAUGCGUAGAUAUCGGGAGGAACACCAGUGGCGAAGGCGACUUCCUGGACCGACACUGACGCUGAGGCGCGAAAGCUAGGGGAGCAAACGGG